UAUUCCUUUCUUCCAGGAGGGGAUAAGUUUUAUACUGUUGGUCUUGCUGCCACCUGCUGGGAGAUCUGGCUUGCUCGCAAUAAGGCUACCUUUGAGAAAAAGCAAAUUAAGUCUCCCUUUGAAAUUGUGUUCUCUAUAUGCUCCUUUCUUUUGUAUUGGACAGGACUGCAGAAGGGUGAUGAUGCUGGCAAGCUUCGCUCAGGUGCCGAGAUGAUCAGGGCCAGCACGAUGCAGCUGAUGAGACUUUGCGGGACCACUGCCCAGCCAAUUGGAGGAGCGUGA
RNAcentral lists this ribosomal RNA (282 nucleotides) under Triticum aestivum (bread wheat). RNAcentral's name for it is "partial small subunit ribosomal RNA". Lineage: Eukaryota; Viridiplantae; Streptophyta; Magnoliopsida; Poales; Poaceae. The record is from RNAcentral.